GACGAACGCUGGCGGCGUGCUUAACACAUGCAAGUCGAACGGUAAGGCCCUUCGGGGUACACGAGUGGCGAACGGGUGAGUAACACGUGGGUGAUCUGCCCUGCACUUCGGGAUAAGCCUGGGAAACUGGGUCUAAUACCGGAUAGGACUCCUGGCUUCAUGGUUGGGGGUGGAAAGCUUUUGCGGUGUGGGAUGGGCCCGCGGCCUGUCAGCUUGUUGGUGGGGUAAUGGCCUACCAAGGCGACGAGGGGUAGCCGGCCUGAGAGGGUGACCGGUCACACUGGGACUGAGAUACGGCCCAGGCUCACACGGGAGGCAGCAGUGGGGAAUAUUGCACAAUGGGCGCAAGCCUGAUGCAGCGACGCCGCGUGAGGGAUGACGGCCUUCGGGUUGUAAACCUCUUUCAGCUAUGACGAAGCGCAAGUGACGGUAGUAGCAGAAGAAGGACCGGCCAACUACGUGCCAGCAGCCGCCGUAA
RNAcentral lists this ribosomal RNA (478 nucleotides) under uncultured bacterium. Its description in RNAcentral is "partial 16S ribosomal RNA". It matches the Rfam family "Bacterial small subunit ribosomal RNA", at positions 28 to 523 of the family's 1533-position model. The record is from RNAcentral.